This 376-nucleotide ribosomal RNA is filed under the name uncultured bacterium. RNAcentral's name for it is "bacterial SSU rRNA". It matches the Rfam family "Bacterial small subunit ribosomal RNA", at positions 430 to 793 of the family's 1533-position model. The record is from RNAcentral.
GUACUUUCAGCAGUGAGGAAGGUGGAUUAUGUUAAUAGCAUAUUCAUUUUGACGUUAGCUGCAGAAGAAGCACCGGCUAACUCCGUGCCAGCAGCCGCGGUAAUACGGAGGGUGCGAGCGUUAAUCGGAAUUACUGGGCGUAAAGCGCAUGCAGGUGGUUUGUUAAGUCAGAUGUGAAAAGCCCCGGGGCUCAACCUCGGAAUUGCAUUUUGAAACUGGCAAACUAGAGUACUGUAGAGGGGGGUAGAAUUUCAGGUGUAGCGGUGAAAUGCGUAGAGAUCUGAAGGAAUACCGGUGGCGAAGGCGGCCCCCUGGACAGAUACUGACACUCAGAUGCGAAAGCGUGGGGAGCAAACAGGAUUAGAUACCCUGGUAG